GACGAACGCUGGCGGCGUGCCUAAUACAUGCAAGUAGAACGCAGUUGCGAACGGGUGAGUAACGCGUAGGUAACUGCCUCAUAGCGGGGGAGAAAUAUUGGAAACGAUAGCUAAUACCGCAUACUGUGAGCCGGACCUGUGUGGUAUUAGCUGGUUGGUGAGGUAAAGGCUCACCAAGGCGACGAUACAUAGCCGACCUGGGAGGUGGUCCGGCCACUCUUGGACUGCGACACGGCCCUGACACCGAGGAGAAGGAGCAGGAGGGAAACGUCGGGCAUAGACAGAAGUAUGACCGAGCAACUCCACGUGAGUGAAGAAGGUUUUCGAAUCGUAAAGAUCUGUUGUUAGAGAAGCGGUAACUAGCCAGAAAGGGACGGCUAACUACGUGCCAGCAGCCGCGGUAAUUC
RNAcentral lists this ribosomal RNA (407 nucleotides) under uncultured bacterium. RNAcentral describes it as "partial 16S ribosomal RNA". It matches the Rfam family "Bacterial small subunit ribosomal RNA", at positions 28 to 526 of the family's 1533-position model. The record is from RNAcentral.